GUCGAACGAGAACGGGUUAUAGCUUGCUAUAAUUGUCAGCUAAGUGGCGCACGGGUGAGUAAUGUAUAGGUAAUAUGCCUUUUACUAAGGGAUAACAGAUGGAAACGUUUGCUAAUACCUUAUACUCCGUUUAUGUAUAAAUGUAAAUGGGAAAGAUUUAUCGGUAAGAGAUUGGCCUGUAUUGUAUCAGUUAGUUGGUGGGGUAAUGGCCUACCAAGACAAUGACGCAUAACUGGUUUGAGAGGAUGAUCAGUCACACUGGAACUGAGACACGGUCCAGACUCCUACGGGAGGCAGCAGUGGGGAAUAUUGCACAAUGGACGGAAGUCUGAUGCAGCAACGCCGCGUGGAGGAUGACACAUUUCGGUGCGUAAACUCCUUUUAUAUAAGAAGAUAAUGAUGGUAAUAUAUGAAUAAGCACCGGCUAACUCCGUGCCAGCAGCCGCGGUAAUACGGGGGGUGCAAGCGUUACUCGGAAUCACUGGGCGUAAAGAGCAUGUAGGCGGAUUGAUAAGUUUGAAGUGAAAUCCUAUAGCUUAACUAUAGAACUGCUUUGAAAACUGUUAAUCUAGAAUGUGGGAGAGGUAGAUGGAAUUUCUGGUGUAGGGGUAAAAUCCGUAGAGAUCAGAAGGAAUACCGAUUGCGAAGGCGAUCUACUAGAACACUAUUGACGCUGAGAUGCGAAAGCGUGGGGAGCAAACAGGAU
Molecule: ribosomal RNA, 706 nt
Filed under: uncultured Campylobacterales bacterium
Lineage: Bacteria; Pseudomonadati; Campylobacterota; Epsilonproteobacteria; Campylobacterales
Description: bacterial SSU rRNA
Rfam family: Bacterial small subunit ribosomal RNA
Source: RNAcentral